RNAcentral lists this ribosomal RNA (779 nucleotides) under uncultured Neocallimastigales. RNAcentral's name for it is "partial large subunit ribosomal RNA". It matches the Rfam family "Eukaryotic large subunit ribosomal RNA", at positions 24 to 614 of the family's 3401-position model. The record is from RNAcentral. Lineage: Eukaryota; Fungi; Neocallimastigomycota; Neocallimastigomycetes; Neocallimastigales.
UACGACUACAUAUCAGGCAUAUCAAUAAGCGGAGGAAAAGAAACUAACUAGGAUUCCCUUAGUAACGGCGAGUGAAGCGGGAAGAGCUCAAAUUUGAAAUCUUCAAGGUUUUACCUUGACGAAUUGUAGUUUAAAGAAGUGUUUUCUGUUGGAUGUUUUGGUAAAAGUUCUUUGGAAUAGGACAUCAUAGAGGGUGAGAAUCCCGUAUUUGACCAUUACUUCCAGCGUUGUGAUACACUUUCAAAGAGUCGGAUUGUUUGGGAAUGCAGUCCAAAAUGGGUGGUAAAUUUCAUCUAAAGCUAAAUAUUGGCGAGAGACCGAUAGCGAACAAGUACCGUGAGGGAAAGAUGAAAAGAACUUUGAAAAGAGAGUUAAACAGUACGUGAAAUUGUCAAAAGGGAAGCGUUUGACACCAGUGUUGUUUUCUCGAAAAUCAAUUAAAAAUGACCGGAUUUUGUGUUGUAUUGACUUUAUCAGCUUUCUGCACUUUUUUCUUAGUCUUUUUUAAUGCACUUUUCGUUUAACAAGUCAACAUCAAUUUCUUUUGUUGUAAAAGGGUCAUUGGAAGGUGGCUUUCACUUCGGUGAAAGUGUUUAUAGCCUUUGACUUCUGCAAUCGGAGAGAUUGAGGUCUGCAGCGUAGACUCUUCGGGGUUAGAUACAUUUGUGCUAAGUUAUAGCUUUUCAUAGACAACAUUGUUGACUAUGAUUAAAUCAUUGUAGCUUACUCGCUUAUGCUAUUUUACCUACGCUUAGGAUGUUGAACGCGCACAGAGUCUC